RNAcentral lists this unclassified non-coding RNA (346 nucleotides) under uncultured fungus. RNAcentral describes it as "sequence contains ITS1". The stretch from base 1 to 97 matches the Rfam family "5.8S ribosomal RNA", at positions 50 to 154 of the family's 154-position model. The record is from RNAcentral. Lineage: Eukaryota; Fungi.
GAAAUGCGAUACGCAAUGCGAAUUGCAGAAUCCGCGAGUCAUCAGAUCUUUGAACGCAAUUGGCGCCGAUCGUAUCGGCAUGUUUGUUUCAGUGUGGAAGGAAUCACAAAUCAUAAUGCGAUUGAAAAGUUUUCACCAAUUUUUCUCUCGUUAAACACGUCGGUGUCUGUGAGAAUAUCAUGGGAACACCCACGAACGAAGUAGUCUCAUUUAUGAGAUCUCGUUUGUAAAGGGUAAAUAAAAAUCUCUGUAUUCAAUAAAACGCAGCCCUAAAAAAACUAUAGAAAGAUUUAUCUUUCUUUCUCUCUUACACCUGAAAUCAAGCAAGACGACCCGCUGAACUUAA